This 466-nucleotide ribosomal RNA is filed under the name uncultured bacterium. RNAcentral describes it as "partial 16S ribosomal RNA". It matches the Rfam family "Bacterial small subunit ribosomal RNA", at positions 29 to 507 of the family's 1533-position model. The record is from RNAcentral.
ACUAACGCUGGCGGCGUGCUUAACCCCUUCAAGUCGAACGGAAAGGCCCUGCUUUUGUGGGGUGCUCGCGUGGCGAACGGGUGAGUAACACGUGAGUAACCUGCCCUUGACUUUGGGAUAACUUCAGGAAACUGGGGCUAAUACCGGAUAGGAGCUCCUGCUGCAUGGUGGGGGUUGGAAAGUUUCGGCGGUUGGGGAUGGACUCGCGGCUUAUCAGCUUGUUGGUGGGGUAGUGGCUUACCAAGGCUUUGACGGGUAGCCGGCCUGAGGGGGUGACCGGCCACAUGGGAGACGGGAACCGGACCAAGCUCCGAGGGGGAGCAGGAGGGGGGAAUAAGACACAAGGGGCGGAGCCGUGUGGAGGAAACGCGGCGUGGGGAUUGGAGGCUUCGGGGUUAAAAGACGCUUUCGCGUGUGGCGAAGGGUGAGGACGGUAACUGGGGAAAAAGCCACGGCUAACUUCGGG